GACGAACGCUGGCGGCGUGCUUAACACAUGCAAGUCGAGCGGACAGGCCCUGCUUUUGUUCGUUGCUCGUGUGCCGCACGGGUGAGUAACACGUGUGUAACCUGCCCUUGACUUUGGGGUAACUUCAGGAAAAUGGGGCUCUUACCGGAUAUGAGCUCCUGCUGCAUGGUGGGGGUUGGUAAGUUUCGGCGGUUGGGGCUGGACUGGCGGCUUAUCAGCUUGUUUGUGGGGUAGGGGCUUACCAAGUCUUUGACGGGUAGCCGGCCUGAGAGGGUGACCGGCCACAUUGCGACUGAGAUACGGACCAGACUCCUACGGGAGGCAGUAGGGGGGAACAUGGCACAAUGGGCGGAAGCCUGAUGCAGCAACGCCGCGUGCGUGAAGACGUGUUUCGGGGGGUAAACCGAUUUCGCCGGUGACGAAGCGUGAGUGACGGUAAUGGGUAAAGAAGCACCGGCUAACUACGUG
This 468-nucleotide ribosomal RNA is filed under the name uncultured bacterium. RNAcentral's name for it is "partial 16S ribosomal RNA". It matches the Rfam family "Bacterial small subunit ribosomal RNA", at positions 28 to 507 of the family's 1533-position model. The record is from RNAcentral.